UACGUAGGGGGCUAGCGUUAUCCGGAAUUACUGGGCGUAAAGGGUGCGUAGGUGGUUUCUUAAGUCAGAGGUGAAAGGCUACGGCUCAACCGUAGUAAGCCUUUGAAACUGGGAAACUUGAGUGCAGGAGAGGAGAGUGGAAUUCCUAGUGUAGCGGUGAAAUGCGUAGAUAUUGGGAAGAACACCGGUGGCGAAGGCGGCUCUCUGGACCGUAACUGACGCUGAGGCGCGAAAGCGUGGGGAGCAAACAGG
RNAcentral lists this ribosomal RNA (252 nucleotides) under uncultured bacterium. Its description in RNAcentral is "partial 16S ribosomal RNA". It matches the Rfam family "Bacterial small subunit ribosomal RNA", at positions 524 to 776 of the family's 1533-position model. The record is from RNAcentral.